Molecule: ribosomal RNA, 944 nt
Filed under: uncultured Sphingobacteriia bacterium
Lineage: Bacteria; Pseudomonadati; Bacteroidota; Sphingobacteriia
Description: bacterial SSU rRNA
Rfam family: Bacterial small subunit ribosomal RNA
Source: RNAcentral
CAUGCCGCGUGAAGGAUGACGGCGCUAUGCGUUGUAAACUUCUUUUAUACGGGAAAAAACCCUUGGAUGCGUCCGAGGCUGAUUGUACCGUAAGAAUAAGGAUCGGCUAACUUCGUGCCAGCAGCCGCGGUAAUACGAAGGAUCCAAGCGUUAUCCGGAUUUAUUGGGUUUAAAGGGUGCGUAGGCGGUUUUGUAAGUCAGUGGUGAAAUCUUCGGGCUUAACCCGGAAAUUGCCAUUGAUACUGCAGAACUUGAGUACAUUUGAAGUGGGCGGAAUAUGACAUGUAGUGGUGAAAUACUUAGAUAUGUCAUAGAACACCGGUUGCGAAGGCAGCUCACUAAACUGUAACUGACGCUGAUGCACGAAAGCGUGGGGAUCAAACAGGAUUAGAUACCCUGGUAGUCCACGCCGUAAACGUUGAUAACUAGAUGUUGGCGAUACACUGUCAGCGUCUAAGCGAAAGCGGUAAGUUAUCCACCUGGGGAGUACGACCGCAAGGUUGAAACUCAAAGGAAUUGACGGGGGCCCGCACAAGCGGAGGAGCAUGUGGUUUAAUUCGAUGAUACGCGAGGAACCUUACCAGGGCUUGAAAGUUAGUGACCGUUCCCGAAAGGGAUCUUUCAGCAAUGACACGAAACUAGGUGCUGCAUGGCUGUCGUCAGCUCGUGCCGUGAGGUGUUGGGUUAAGUCCCGCAACGAGCGCAACCCCUAUCUUUAGUUGCCAUCAGGUAAUGCUGGGGACUCUAAAGAAACUGCCCGCGCAAGCGGUGAGGAAGGUGGGGAUGACGUCAAGUCAUCACGGCCCUUACGUCCUGGGCUACACACGUGCUACAAUGGCAGAUACAAAGGGCAGCUACACAGCGAUGUGAUGCUAAUCUCUAAAAUCUGUCUCAGUUCGGGAUUGAAGUCUGCAACUCGACUUCAUGAAGCUGGAUUCGCUAGU